UUUUUUUUUUUUUUUUUUUUUGGCAGUAAAGGAAUUUGAAGUAUCCAGUUUUUUAAAUAAAUUAAUAUGUAUUGAAUUGGAGUUUAGCAGUACUUUUAGUUAAGAUCUCAGUUAAGGUAAAAAGGUCAGACCUGUAGAGUUAUUAAUUUGUAGAAAAUUCUGACUACAGCAAAACAUAUUAGCCCAAGUUCUCUUUAUUAAUAAAACAUUAGUUACAGAAAUACUAAAAAAUAGAUUGGUUGGUCUCCUGAAUGUCCUGCGUUAGGUAAGUUGCCUUAUGCCAUCUGGAAGACUUUUUAUUUUCUCUUCAUAGAAGGAUACAAUAGAUUUGUUUUGCUCAAAGAGUUCAUUUUCUGUUGCUGGGCACAUAUAUAAUACUGUAAACACAUUUCUGGAUAUGACGACAUAAUGAUGAAGAGAGACCUUUGAAUAUUUUCUUAAAUGAAGAUUGAAGGAGUAGUAAGCUGUGAGAGGAGAUUUUUCUACUAUUUCAGUCCUAAGAUUGAUCUUUUUUGUCAUGGAUUUAUCCCUUUGUCUCUAUGCAUUUCUAUGUGUCUGCUCAGCAUCUUAUCUUCUACAUUUGCCCUAGUUCCAUCCUUCCUUUUUUCCAUGCUUGUUUUUCCAUACACCUGCCCAUCCACCCUCCUGCCUCUCUAUCCAGUCGUCCGUCUAACCAUUUCUGGCAAUUCUUACCUCCCUGUUUCAUGUAUAUCUCUCCAUUUUUACCUGUCAUUUAUAUUUAUCUAUUUGCCUAUCCAUAUCUACACCUGCUUGUCUGCUCACUGUCUAUCUAUAAAGUUAAUGGAGAUGAUUUUGAUGAAAACUUAUGAAUUUCUUUAUUGCAUUUUACACUGUGGGUUACAGGGGCCAAAGGCCAUGGGGACCAGAAAGUGGAAAUAACCAGAGCUCGGCCAUUUUUGUUUCAUUUCAAAAUCAGGAGGGAAGGUCAGAACUAACCUGAUUAUCCUUUCUGUGAUGCUAAUCAGGAUGUUCUUAGUAUAAUGCCUUUUGGAGACUGUUAUUUUAAGGAAUGUUUUGCUAAGAAUCAGUUGCCAGGACAUAGAAUGAAGAGCUAUUGUAUAGCUUCAGAGUAGUUCUCUUUUAAGAAGGAUAUAAUAAAUUAAAAAUAAUUUUCUUGAGGUCAGACUAAGGAAAAGUCAAAGAUAUACAAUUGCCAUCUCUCCAAAUUUAUUGAUUUUAUUUAUUUAUUAUUUAUUAUUAUUAUUAUUUGAGACAGAGUCUCACUUUGUUACCCAGGCUGGAGUGCAGUGGCACGAUCAUAAUUCACUGCAACCUCAAUGUCCUGGAGUCACUGAAGCCUCUCAAGUACCUUGGACUACAGUUGUGUGCCACAAUGCCCAGCUAAUUUUUUUUGUACUUUUUUUAAAGACAGUAUUUUGCCAUGUUGCCCAGGCUGGUGUUGAACUCCCGGGCUCAAACUAUCUGCUUGCCUUGGCCUCCCAAAGUGCUGGGAUUAUAAGUGUUAGCCACUGUACCCAGCCCAAUUUACUGACUUAAAAAAAAAGAAAAAAAAAA
RNAcentral lists this long non-coding RNA (1536 nucleotides) under Homo sapiens (human). RNAcentral's name for it is "novel transcript, sense intronic to LPP". Lineage: Eukaryota; Metazoa; Chordata; Mammalia; Primates; Hominidae. The record is from RNAcentral.